GGUCAAGUGAAGAAGCGCAUACGGUGGAUGCCUUGGCAGUCAGAGGCGAUGAAAGACGUGGUAGCCUGCGAAAAGCUUCGGGGAGUCGGCAAACAGACUUUGAUCCGGAGAUCUCUGAAUGGGGGAACCCACCUAGGAUAACCUAGGUAUCUUGUACUGAAUCCAUAGGUGCAAGAGGCGAACCAGGGGAACUGAAACAUCUAAGUACCCUGAGGAAAAGAAAUCAACCGAGAUUCCCUUAGUAGUGGCGAGCGAACGGGGAUUAGCCCUUAAGCUUCAUUGAUUUUAGCGGAACGCUCUGGAAAGUGCGGCCAUAGUGGGUGAUAGCCCCGUACGCGAAAGGAUCUUUGAAGUGAAAUCGAGUAGGACGGAGCACGAGAAACUUUGUCUGAACAUGGGGGGACCAUCCUCCAAGGCUAAAUACUACUGACUGACCGAGAUAGUGAACCAGUACCGUGAGGGAAAGGCGAAAAGAACCCCGGAGAGGGGAGUGAAAUAGAACCUGAAACCGUAUGCGUACAAGCAGUGGGAGCCUACUUGUUAGGUGACUGCGUACCUUUUGUAUAAUGGGUCAGCGACUUAUAUUCAGUGGCAAGCUUAACCGUAUAGGGUAGGCGUAGCGAAAGCGAGUCUUAAUAGGGCGUUUAGUCGCUGGGUAUAGACCCGAAACCGGGCGAUCUAUCCAUGAGCAGGUUGAAGGUUAGGUAACACUGACUGGAGGACCGAACCCACUCCCGUUGAAAAGGUAGGGGAUGACUUGUGGAUCGGAGUGAAAGGCUAAUCAAGCUCGGAGAUAGCUGGUUCUCCUCGAAAGCUAUUUAGGUAGCGCCUCAUGUAUCACUCUGGGGGGUAGAGCACUGUUUCGGCUAGGGGGUCAUCCCGACUUACCAAACCGAUGCAAACUCCGAAUACCCAGAAGUGCCGAGCAUGGGAGACACACGGCGGGUGCUAACGUCCGUCGUGAAAAGGGAAACAACCCAGACCGCCAGCUAAGGUCCCAAAGUUGUGGUUAAGUGGUAAACGAUGUGGGAAGGCUUAGACAGCUAGGAGGUUGGCUUAGAAGCAGCCAUCCUUUAAAGAAAGCGUAAUAGCUCACUAGUCGAGUCGGCCUGCGCGGAAGAUGUAACGGGGCUCAAACCACACACCGAAGCUGCGGGUGUCACGUAAGUGACGCGGUAGAGGAGCGUUCUGUAAGCCUGUGAAGGUGAGUUGAGAAGCUUGCUGGAGGUAUCAGAAGUGCGAAUGCUGACAUGAGUAACGACAAUGGGUGUGAAAAACACCCACGCCGAAAGACCAAGGGUUCCUGCGCAACGUUAAUCGACGCAGGGUUAGUCGGUUCCUAAGGCGAGGCUGAAAAGCGUAGUCGAUGGGAAACAGGUUAAUAUUCCUGUACUUCUGGUUACUGCGAUGGAGGGACGGAGAAGGCUAGGCCAGCUUGGCGUUGGUUGUCCAAGUUUAAGGUGGUAGGCUGAAAUCUUAGGUAAAUCCGGGGUUUCAAGGCCGAGAGCUGAUGACGAGUCGUCUUUUAGAUGACGAAGUGGUUGAUGCCAUGCUUCCAAGAAAAGCUUCUAAGCUUCAGGUAACCAGGAACCGUACCCCAAACCGACACAGGUGGUCGGGUAGAGAAUACCAAGGCGCUUGAGAGAACUCGGGUGAAGGAACUAGGCAAAAUGGCACCGUAACUUCGGGAGAAGGUGCGCCGGCUAGGGUGAAGGAUUUACUCCGUAAGCUCUGGCUGGUCGAAGAUACCAGGCCGCUGCGACUGUUUAUUAAAAACACAGCACUCUGCAAACACGAAAGUGGACGUAUAGGGUGUGACGCCUGCCCGGUGCCGGAAGGUUAAUUGAUGGGGUUAGCGCAAGCGAAGCUCUUGAUCGAAGCCCCGGUAAACGGCGGCCGUAACUAUAACGGUCCUAAGGUAGCGAAAUUCCUUGUCGGGUAAGUUCCGACCUGCACGAAUGGCGUAACGAUGGCGGCGCUGUCUCCACCCGAGACUCAGUGAAAUUGAAAUCGCUGUGAAGAUGCAGUGUAUCCGCGGCUAGACGGAAAGACCCCGUGAACCUUUACUGUAGCUUUGCACUGGACUUUGAGCCUGCUUGUGUAGGAUAGGUGGGAGGCUUUGAAGCGUGGACGCCAGUUCGCGUGGAGCCAUCCUUGAAAUACCACCCUGGCAUGCUUGAGGUUCUAACUCUGGUCCGUAAUCCGGAUCGAGGACAGUGUAUGGUGGGCAGUUUGACUGGGGCGGUCUCCUCCUAAAGAGUAACGGAGGAGUACGAAGGUGCGCUCAGACCGGUCGGAAAUCGGUCGCAGAGUAUAAAGGCAAAAGCGCGCUUGACUGCGAGACAGACACGUCGAGCAGGUACGAAAGUAGGUCUUAGUGAUCCGGUGGUUCUGUAUGGAAGGGCCAUCGCUCAACGGAUAAAAGGUACUCCGGGGAUAACAGGCUGAUACCGCCCAAGAGUUCAUAUCGACGGCGGUGUUUGGCACCUCGAUGUCGGCUCAUCACAUCCUGGGGCUGAAGCCGGUCCCAAGGGUAUGGCUGUUCGCCAUUUAAAGUGGUACGCGAGCUGGGUUUAGAACGUCGUGAGACAGUUCGGUCCCUAUCUGCCGUGGACGUUUGAGAUUUGAGAGGGGCUGCUCCUAGUACGAGAGGACCGGAGUGGACGAACCUCUGGUGUUCCGGUUGUCACGCCAGUGGCAUUGCCGGGUAGCUAUGUUCGGAAAAGAUAACCGCUGAAAGCAUCUAAGCGGGAAACUUGCCUCAAGAUGAGAUCUCACUGGGAACUUGAUUCCCCUGAAGGGCCGUCGAAGACUACGACGUUGAUAGGCUGGGUGUGUAAGCGUUGUGAGGCGUUGAGCUAACCAGUACUAAUUGCCCGUGAGGCUUGACCAU
Molecule: ribosomal RNA, 2893 nt
Filed under: Pseudomonas aeruginosa
Lineage: Bacteria; Pseudomonadati; Pseudomonadota; Gammaproteobacteria; Pseudomonadales; Pseudomonadaceae
Description: 23S ribosomal RNA
Rfam family: Bacterial large subunit ribosomal RNA
Source: RNAcentral